UAGAUACCCUGGUAGUCCUAGCUGUAAACGAUGGAUACUAGAUGUAGGAACUGGAUUGACGGUUUCUGUAUCGUAGCUAACGCGUUAAGUAUCCCGCCUGGGGAGUACGGUCGCAAGACUAAAACUCAAAGGAAUUGACGGGACCCCGCACAAGCGGCGGAGCAUGCGGCUUAAUUCGAUGAUACCCGUAGAACCUUACCUGGACUUGACAUAUAGGGAAAAACUAGAGAAAUCUAGUGUGCGUAAGCGC
This 250-nucleotide ribosomal RNA is filed under the name uncultured bacterium. Its description in RNAcentral is "partial 16S ribosomal RNA". It matches the Rfam family "Bacterial small subunit ribosomal RNA", at positions 779 to 1025 of the family's 1533-position model. The record is from RNAcentral.